This 318-nucleotide long non-coding RNA is filed under the name Mustela putorius furo (domestic ferret). Its description in RNAcentral is "lncRNA (ENSMPUG00000029436.1)". Lineage: Eukaryota; Metazoa; Chordata; Mammalia; Carnivora; Mustelidae. The record is from RNAcentral.
AAAGCAACCAGUCCCUCAGGAAUGCUGGAGUCCUAUUUAACAUGCACAAAUCAUGGCUACUUCAGACACGCUACAGUCUGCAUCGAUCAACCUCCGGAUUCGUCUACCCGAAGUACAACCAGUUUCACAACUGACUCUUCUCUCAUCUCAGGCACACUUUAUCUCCUGCUGCCCGCAUGACAAAACCCCAGCCUAGUUGGAGGACGUGCGACUCUGUGAACGUAGAUGGCCCACCUUGCUUGGACUGUUCUACAUGAAAUCAUCCAUAGAUGACCCAGAAGUUGACUACAGGUACAGGAAACCAUCCAGGACCAAAAG